Molecule: ribosomal RNA, 487 nt
Filed under: uncultured bacterium
Lineage: Bacteria
Description: partial 16S ribosomal RNA
Rfam family: Bacterial small subunit ribosomal RNA
Source: RNAcentral
GAUGAACGCUAGCGAUAGGCUUAACACAUGCAAGUCGAGGGGCAGCACAAGGUAGCUUGCUAUCUGGGUGGCGACCGGCGCACGGGUGCGUAACGCGUAUGCAACUUGCCCUAUACAGGAGGAUAACCCGUCGAAAGACGGACUAAUACUGCGUAUGCUCACAACUUGGCAUCAAGUGGUGAGGAAAGAAAUUCGGUAUAGGAUAGGCAUGCGUCCCAUUAGCUUGUUGGUGAGGUAACGGCUCACCAAGGCAACGAUGGGUAGGGGAACUGAGAGGUUUAUCCCCCACACUGGUACUGAGACACGGACCAGACUCCUACGGGAGGCAGCAGUGAGGUAUAUUGAUCAAUGGGCGCGAGCCUGAACCAGCCAAGUCGCGUGAAGGAUGACUGUCUUAUGGAUUGUAAACUUCUUUUAUACGGGAAUAACAAGAGUCACGUGUGACUCCCUGCAUGUACCGUAUGAAUAAGCAUCGGCUAACUCCGUG